UAGCUCUUUUUUGGAUCCUGAGAGCGUGAAACAUCUGUCAGAAGAGCAACAGAGUAAAGCUGAAGUUAGCAGGUCUCCUUCACCUCCCUGGAUUACAAACAGAUUUAUUCCAGCUUUUACAAUGAUGGUAGGAAAAUACAGCCUGCCAUUACAAGCAAAAAGAAAUAAACAUUUUUGCAGAAAAUGUUAGCAACCAGCUUUCAAUUCCUACUGUAAUGAACACACUGUGUGACAUUCAGCAUGAGUUUGCAUACUGGAACUUUUGUACGUCCGUUUCCUGAAUCAGACACGGCUAGCAGCGUAACUGAAGGUGCAGAAUCAUCCAAUGGAACGGCAGCACAAAGUCAUAGUCAGUUAUCUGUAAAGCCGUUUGGCUCCGCAGCUGCUAGAUUCAAAAUCCGCUCUGCUAAAACACUUACUACCAAGGACCUCAGGACAAAAAGCAUUUUUUUCGAGGGUGGAAAAGUUGAAGACUCAAGUCAGAAAAGUGGUCCUAGUAAGGACCUCAAUAAAGCCUGUACUUCUGCUAGUUAUACCCACACUAACACUGAUGACAAAGAGACAGGUAAAACGUUAAGAAAGGAUACAUGCAAGGACUCAACUCUUCCCAGCAGUUCUGAGAAGGGUGAUGUGACCGCUAAGAAGUUAAACACUCAAGAAGACAAGAGUCAAGCAGCAAGUGACAGGAGCAGAGGAGAUGAGUUGAGGAGAUUUGAUCAGACAAACAAAAGCAAAAGCAAAAGCUUAGACUGGAGAGCAGGACAUGGCAACAGAACUGGGACGACUAGUGGGACCAGAGAAUUUGACAAUUUUAUGAGGCAAUCUGAUUUAGAGAGUUUAGAGAGAACAGGGACAAACGACAAGAUAACUUCAUACACGCAAGAGAAUCAACCCAGUGGUGUUUCAUGGAGGAUUCAAGCUUUCAGUGCAGCCAAUCAAGGCGAUCAGAACAGUGACAGAAAGGUUUACCCAAUCUCUGGAUCUACAUCUGUGAGAAUGAACCGGGUAAAUUUUGCUCUGGAACGGGCAAACAGUGGC
This 1038-nucleotide long non-coding RNA is filed under the name Sinocyclocheilus anshuiensis. RNAcentral's name for it is "lncRNA (ENSSANG00000025211.1)". Lineage: Eukaryota; Metazoa; Chordata; Actinopteri; Cypriniformes; Cyprinidae. The record is from RNAcentral.